Molecule: ribosomal RNA, 1372 nt
Filed under: uncultured bacterium
Lineage: Bacteria
Description: bacterial SSU rRNA
Rfam family: Bacterial small subunit ribosomal RNA
Source: RNAcentral
GAUGAACGCUGGCGGCGUGCCUAAUACAUGCAAGUCGAGCGAACGGACGAGAAGCUUGCUUCUCUGAUGUUAGCGGCGGACGGGUGAGUAACACGUGGAUAACCUACCUAUAAGACUGGGAUAACUUCGGGAAACCGGAGCUAAUACCGGAUAAUAUUUUGAACCGCAUGGUUCAAAAGUGAAAGACGGUCUUGCUGUCACUUAUAGAUGGAUCCGCGCUGCAUUAGCUAGUUGGUAAGGUAACGGCUUACCAAGGCAACGAUGCAUAGCCGACCUGAGAGGGUGAUCGGCCACACUGGAACUGAGACACGGUCCAGACUCCUACGGGAGGCAGCAGUAGGGAAUCUUCCGCAAUGGGCGAAAGCCUGACGGAGCAACGCCGCGUGAGUGAUGAAGGUCUUCGGAUCGUAAAACUCUGUUAUUAGGGAAGAACAUAUGUGUAAGUAACUGUGCACAUCUUGACGGUACCUAAUCAGAAAGCCACGGCUAACUACGUGCCAGCAGCCGCGGUAAUACGUAGGUGGCAAGCGUUAUCCGGAAUUAUUGGGCGUAAAGCGCGCGUAUGCGGUUUUUUAAGUCUGAUGUGAAAGCCCACGGCUCAACCGUGGAGGGUCAUUGGAAACUGGAAAACUUGAGUGCAGAAGAGGAAGGUGGAAUUCCAUGUGUAGCGGUGAAAUGCGCAGAGAUAUGGAGGAACACCAGUGGCGAAGGCGACUUUCUGGUCUGUAACUGACGCUGAUGUGCGAAAGCGUGGGGAUCAAACAGGAUUAGAUACCCUGGUAGUCCACGCCGUAAACGAUGAGUGCUAAGUGUUAGGGGGUUUCCGCCCCUUAGUGCUGCAGCUAACGCAUUAAGCACUCCGCCUGGGGAGUACGACCGCAAGGUUGAAACUCAAAGGAAUUGACGGGGACCCGCACAAGCGGUGGAGCAUGUGGUUUAAUUCGAAGCAACGCGAAGAACCUUACCAAAUCUUGACAUCCUUUGACAACUCUAGAGAUAGAGCUUUCCCCUUCGGGGGACAAAGUGACAGGUGGUGCAUGGUUGUCGUCAGCUCGUGUCGUGAGAUGUUGGGUUAAGUCCCGCAACGAGCGCAACCCUUAAGCUUAGUUGCCAUCAUUAAGUUGGGCACUCUAAGUUGACUGCCGGUGACAAACCGGAGGAAGGUGGGGAUGACGUCAAAUCAUCAUGCCCCUUAUGAUUUGGGCUACACACGUGCUACAAUGGACAAUACAAAGGGCAGCGAAACCGCGAGGUCAAGCAAAUCCCAUAAAGUUGUUCUCAGUUCGGAUUGUAGUCUGCAACUCGACUACAUGAAGCUGGAAUCGCUAGUAAUCGUAGAUCAGCAUGCUACGGUGAAUACGUUCCCGGGUCU